This 510-nucleotide ribosomal RNA is filed under the name uncultured eukaryote. Its description in RNAcentral is "bacterial SSU rRNA". It matches the Rfam family "Eukaryotic small subunit ribosomal RNA", at positions 592 to 1058 of the family's 1831-position model. The record is from RNAcentral.
CAAUAGCGUAUAUUAAAGUUGUUGCAGUUAAAAAGCUCGUAGUUGGAUUUCUGGUAGGAGCGACCGGUCCGCCCUGUUAAGGGUGUGUACUAGCGUUGUCUCUGGCCAUCCUUGGGGGAACUGCGCGGGGAGACUUGCGUUAGGGAACCCAUCGUUUACUGUGAAAAAAUUAGAGUGUUUAAAGCAGGCUUAUGCCGUUGAAUACAUUAGCAUGGAAUAAUAAGAUAGGACCGCGUGGUCGUCUUGUUGGUUUGCACCGCGAGGUAAUGAUUAAUAGGUACAGUUGGGGGUAUUCGUAUUUAAUUGUCAGAGGUGAAAUUCUUGGAUUUAUGAAAGACGAACUUCUGCGAAAGCAUUUACCAAGGAUGUUUUUCAUUAGUAUACGAAACGAAACGUUAAAGGGGUAAGGGUAGUAACGGAAAGUAGUAGUACUUAAGGAAUUAACCCCGUACUUCGUAGGAACGUACGUCCGAACCGGAACGGACCAACCAACGGGGAAGGGGUAAGGUA